AGACCCGAAACCCGGUGAUCUAGCCAUGGGCAGGUUGAAGGUUGGGUAACACUAACUGGAGGACCGAACCGACUAAUGUUGAAAAAUUAGCGGAUGACCUGUGGCUGGGGGUGAAAGGCCAAUCAAACCGGGAGAUAGCUGGUUCUCCCCGAAAGCUAUUUAGGUAGCGCCUCGUGAAUUCAUCUCCGGGGGUAGAGCACUGUUUCGGCUAGGGGGCCAUCCCGGCUUACCAACCCGAUGCAAACUGCGAAUACCGGAGAAUGUUAUCACGGGAGACACACGGCGGGUGCUAACGUCCGUCGUGAAGAGGGAAACAACCCAGACCGCCAGCUAAGGUCCCAAAGUCAUGGUUAAGUGGGAAACGAUGUGGGAAGGCCCAGACAGCCAGGAUGUUGGCUUAGAAGCAGCCAUCAUUUAAAGAAAGCGUAAUAGCUCACUGGUCGAGUCGGCCUGCGCGGAAGAUGUAACGGGGCUAAACCAUGCACCGAAGCUGCGGCAGCGACACUAUGUGUUGUUGGGUAGGGGAGCGUUCUGUAAGCCUGUGAAGGUGUGUCGUGAGGCAUGCUGGAGGUAUCAGAAGUGCGAAUGCUGACAUAAGUAACGAUAAAGCGGGUGAAAAGCCCGCUCGCCGGAAGACCAAGGGUUCCUGUCCAACGUUAAUCGGGGCAGGGUGAGUCGACCCCUAAGGCGAGGCCGAAAGGCGUAGUCGAUGGGAAACGGGUUAAUAUUCCCGUACUUGGUGUUACUGCGAAGGGGGGACGGAGAAGGCUAUGUUGGCCGGGCGACGGUUGUCCCGGUUUAAGCGUGUAGGUGUGUGUUCCAGGUAAAUCCGGUUCACUUUAACACUGAGGCGUGACGACGAGGCACUACGGUGCUGAAGCAACAAAUGCCCUGCUUCCAGGAAAAGCCUCUAAGCAUCAGGUAACAUCAAAUCGUACCCCAAACCGACACAGGUGGUCAGGUAGAGAAUACCAAGGCGCUUGAGAGAACUCGGGUGAAGGAACUAGGCAAAAUGGUGCCGUAACUUCGGGAGAAGGCACGCUGACACGUAGGUGAAGUGAUUUACUCAUGGAGCUGAAGUCAGUCGAAGAUACCAGCUGGCUGCAACUGUUUAUUAAAAACACAGCACUGUGCAAACACGAAAGUGGACGUAUACGGUGUGACGCCUGCCCGGUGCCGGAAGGUUAAUUGAUGGGGUCAGCGCAAGCGAAGCUCCUGAUCGAAGCCCCGGUAAACGGCGGCCGUAACUAUAACGGUCCUAAGGUAGCGAAAUUCCUUGUCGGGUAAGUUCCGACCUGCACGAAUGGCGUAAUGAUGGCCAGGCUGUCUCCACCCGAGACUCAGUGAAAUUGAACUCGCUGUGAAGAUGCAGUGUACCCGCGGCAAGACGGAAAGACCCCGUGAACCUUUACUAUAGCUUGACACUGAACAUUGAGCCUUGAUGUGUAGGAUAGGUGGGAGGCUUUGAAGUGUGGACGCCAGUCUGCAUGGAGCCGACCUUGAAAUACCACCCUUUAAUGUUUGAUGUUCUAACGUGGACCCGUGAUCCGGGUUGCGGACAGUGUCUGGUGGGUAGUUUGACUGGGGCGGUCUCCUCCUAAAGAGUAACGGAGGAGCACGAAGGUUGGCUAAUCCUGGUCGGACAUCAGGAGGUUAGUGCAAUGGCAUAAGCCAGCUUGACUGCGAGCGUGACGGCGCGAGCAGGUGCGAAAGCAGGUCAUAGUGAUCCGGUGGUUCUGAAUGGAAGGGCCAUCGCUCAACGGAUAAAAGGUACUCCGGGGAUAACAGGCUGAUACCGCCCAAGAGUUCAUAUCGACGGCGGUGUUUGGCACCUCGAUGUCGGCUCAUCACAUCCUGGGGCUGAAGUAGGUCCCAAGGGUAUGGCUGUUCGCCAUUUAAAGUGGUACGCGAGCUGGGUUUAGAACGUCGUGAGACAGUUCGGUCCCUAUCUGCCGUGGGCGCUGGAGAACUGAGGGGGGCUGCUCCUAGUACGAGAGGACCGGAGUGGACGCAUCACUGGUGUUCGGGUUGUCAUGCCAAUGGCACUGCCCGGUAGCUAAAUGCGGAAGAGAUAAGUGCUGAAAGCAUCUAAGCACGAAACUUGCCCCGAGAUGAGUUCUCCCUGAGACUUAAAGUCUCCUGAAGGAACGUUGAAGACGACGACGUUGAUAGGCCGGGUGUGUAAGCGCAGCGAUGCGUUGAGCUAACCGGUACUAAUGAACCGUGAGGCUUAACCUU
This 2238-nucleotide ribosomal RNA is filed under the name Salmonella enterica. Its description in RNAcentral is "partial 23S ribosomal RNA". It matches the Rfam family "Bacterial large subunit ribosomal RNA", at positions 711 to 2925 of the family's 2925-position model. The record is from RNAcentral. Lineage: Bacteria; Pseudomonadati; Pseudomonadota; Gammaproteobacteria; Enterobacterales; Enterobacteriaceae.